RNAcentral lists this ribosomal RNA (422 nucleotides) under uncultured bacterium. RNAcentral's name for it is "bacterial SSU rRNA". It matches the Rfam family "Bacterial small subunit ribosomal RNA", at positions 355 to 774 of the family's 1533-position model. The record is from RNAcentral.
UAAGGAAUAUUGGUCAAUGGAGGGAACUCUGAACCAGCCAUCCCGCGUGAAGGAUGAAGGGGCUCUGCCUUGUAAACUUCUUUUGCAUGGGACGAAAAAACUUAAUUUAUUAAGGACUGACGGUACCAUGAGAAUAAGCACCGGCUAACUCCGUGCCAGCAGCCGCGGUAAUACGGAGGGUGCGAGCGUUAUCCGGAAUCACUGGGUUUAAAGGGUGCGUAGGCGGUUUGAUAAGUCAGUGGUGAAAGGCCGUCGCUUAACGAUGGGACUGCCAUUGAUACUGUUAGACUUGAAUCAGGAUGAGGUUGGCGGAAUGUGGCAUGUAGCGGUGAAAUGCUUAGAUAUGCCAUGGAAUACCGAUUGCGAAGGCAGCUGACUGGACCUGAAUUGACGCUGAGGCACGAAAGCGUGGGGAGCGAACA